AUUGAACGCUGGCGGCAGGCCUAACACAUGCAGGUCGAGCGGAUGAGAGGAGCUUGCUUCUCGAUUCAGCGGCGGACGGGUGAGUAAUGCCUAGGAAUCUGCCUGGUAGUGGGGGACAACGUUUCGAAAGGAACGCUAAUACCGCAUACGUCCUACGGGAGAAAGCAGGGGACCUUCGGGCCUUGCGCUAUCAGAUGAGCCUAGGUCGGAUUAGCUAGUUGGUGAGGUAAUGGCUCACCAAGGCGACGAUCCGUAACUGGUCUGAGAGGAUGAUCAGUCACACUGGAACUGCGACACGGUCCAGACGCCGACGGGAGGCAGCAGUGGGGAAUAUUGGACAAUGGGCGAAAGCCUGAUCCAGCCAUGACGCGUGUAUGAAGAAGGUAUUCGGAUUGUAAAGCACUUUAAGUUGGGAGGAAGGGUUGUAGAUUAAUACUCUGCAAUUUUGACGUUACCGACAGAAUAAGCACCGGCUAACUCUGUGCCAGCAGCCGCGGUAA
RNAcentral lists this ribosomal RNA (500 nucleotides) under uncultured bacterium. RNAcentral's name for it is "partial 16S ribosomal RNA". It matches the Rfam family "Bacterial small subunit ribosomal RNA", at positions 30 to 523 of the family's 1533-position model. The record is from RNAcentral.